RNAcentral lists this long non-coding RNA (2020 nucleotides) under Homo sapiens (human). RNAcentral's name for it is "HSALNT0369878". The record is from RNAcentral. Lineage: Eukaryota; Metazoa; Chordata; Mammalia; Primates; Hominidae.
CUGGCCAAGAAAGGCUGAUUUUCUUCCAAAGCAGUCAAAAAAGUCAAAUGAGGUUAAAAUAACAGGAAGAGAAGAAGGUAGAGAUGUGGGUGAUGUCAGUGAUGGAGAACAUCUGACAGAUGGCCUUUUAAUGAAUACUCUUAUGAUUUAAAAUGUCUUCUUAAACUAAGGCUUGUGGUAAUUCUUUGAGUUCCAAUGUAAUUGUCAUGCAUUCACUAAGGAGAUUCUUUUAAAAAGCUGUCAAUUUGGUUGAGGAAGAUUAGAAAAGCAGAAGCAAGAACAUUUUUAGACAUUUUUAAAGAACUCAUUUAGCUGCUUCCUCAUUAAUCAGUCUGUUUUCUGAGAGCAAACUGCUGUAUAAUUACCAGGGGGAAAUUGCUCUUAAAGAGAAGCUGCAAAAUGUCUAUAGGAAAACGUGAUUUUCUCACUGGUAUCCAGAAAGACUUAACCUGCUUAACACAGAUGAAAAAUUUUUAUUAAUAAAGUGAUUUUCCAUCAUCUGGUCAUUUAGGGAGUUUCCUAUUUUAGAGCUGCUUAUUUAUAGGGAAUAUUGAUGGAGAAAGAGGAAAAAUGAUCAGGCUAAUAGGCAUUACAUCUGAAGUCCUGAGACUCCUUCUGAUUAUAUAAACCCUUCUCCCAUUGUGAGCACGGCACUCAAUGUCCCAGGUAGUCCUCAUAGUAUGUUUCGAGAUAAAAUCUCCCAUAUGAUAAAUGCCAAGUUUUAUUUAACAAGCCAGCAAGUCAGCAUCUGGAAGCAAGUCUACAGGCAGAUCUUUAACUUCCAGGAAUUCUGUUGGGGAUUUAAUGUUUCUAUAGCAACACUUGUUGUAGCAUAAACUAAAUUUGAAGAAUGUUGAGGGUUUGCCUCUGUGAUGUAUUUCUUUUAUCUAUGAACAUAAAUUACAGAGGGUCUCAAGAUUACAUAUAUACAUCUAAUCUAUAUUGUUAUAAAUAUACAUAAUUGUUUUUGCUAACAUUUUUUCUUUUCUGAAAACUCAUGUAGCAGCAGAAAUGCAAGUCUUUCAAAUGCUUUUGGGAAGACUGUGUAAAGAAAUGGCUGUCCCUUGUUCAAAGACAUCAAACAUUUCUAUGCAAGAUGUCUUAUUUCGCCAGUAGUAAUAUGCUCCCAUCAUAGGAAAAUUGGCUGUCUACAUUUAAAAGAAAAAUGAAGACAUCAUUAAAACUAUCAGGAAGUCUGGAAACAAUAUAGCAAUUUUUAACCUAAUGGUGCUAAGAGAGUGACAUGAAUGUUCUUGAUCAUCCAGUCUUUGAUGGUGGAUGCAGGUCUUUUUAGUCCAUUUUAAUGGUCAAGAUUGGUUAGCUUCAAAAGAAAAAGAUUUGAGAUUUGCAAAAAAAAAUUGUUCACCAAUGACAUGUUUUUGAGACCCCUUUUUAUUGUAACCUUGACUAUUAAGUUGCCUGUGGCUUCAUUUUUAUAGAAAAUGAGUUUCAGCAGGUGGAACUGAAAAUUACUGUUAGGAAAGAAUGAUUUCCAAUGAGGUCAGAAUUAGUACACAUUUAUGUUUUUACUGUUUAUAUAUGUACUUCCUCCACUUCUUAUGACCCAAAGUCAUAAUCUUCUCAUUGUAAGGUCACAAUUGUGACACAGUAACUAGUAAAAGGUUUAAAUCUUUUUUACAGCAGCAAAACAUUGAACCUUUGCCUUGUGGAUUCUCAUUUAUUAAGUCAAAGAGAAAAGGAGUAUAAGAUAUAAAGUUUCAUGUGCAGACCUUCCCUCCUUAUGAAUUCUGUGUUGAAAUGAAUAACUGUAAAACCCCAGGGAUUUGGCCAACCUCUUCUCCUGUCUCCUGCCAACUUUGACCUGGUUUUCUACAAGACUUAAGAGGUACAGAGACUGCACAGAAUCUCCCAGAAGACCUUAGUCAAUGCAGAAUUAAAUGGAAAAAUUCCACUUUUGUCAAAGGUGAAAAAUCUGGCUUUCCUUACAUGCAGAACCUCUAGAGACAUCAACAUGGUCUGUAUGAGCAACCUCAGCAAAAAAAAAAAAAAAGCCUCAUCU